This 400-nucleotide long non-coding RNA is filed under the name Rattus norvegicus (Norway rat). Its description in RNAcentral is "long non-coding RNA NONRATT009823". Lineage: Eukaryota; Metazoa; Chordata; Mammalia; Rodentia; Muridae. The record is from RNAcentral.
CAGUGGCGGCGUCGGCUCGGAGCCCGGGCUGGGCGAUGAAGCUCCCGUAUGCCCGAAGCUACCCGGCACGGCCGGCGAGCUGAUCCGCGACCACCGAAGCUCGGGGCUCGCCACCCGCGGCAGGCACGCAGCCCUCGGCGGCCCGGCGCCCGCUCUGCCGGCGCGUCCACGCCGUACACCCGGCAAGGAGUUUGCGCGGCUCGCGCCUGGGCUCUCGGAGCGGGUUGCGGGCGGCAGAGCGGACCCUCUACUGCCGGAGCACCUCGGGGGCAGCAGGAGGAGGACGGCGAGGAGGGCUGGGCGGAGAAGCUACUACUGGUCCUCGCGGCUGCCCCUACCUAUCCCCUCCCUCCCGCUCGGAGGCGGAAAGGGGAGGACGAGGAAGAAGAAGAAAAAGAAA